RNAcentral lists this ribosomal RNA (440 nucleotides) under uncultured bacterium. RNAcentral describes it as "partial 16S ribosomal RNA". It matches the Rfam family "Bacterial small subunit ribosomal RNA", at positions 338 to 795 of the family's 1533-position model. The record is from RNAcentral.
CCUACGGGAGGCAGCAGUGGGGAAUAUUGCACAAUGGGGGAAACCCUGAUGCAGCGACGUCGCGUGAGCGAUGACGUCUCUCGGUAUGUUAAGCUCCAUCAGCAGGGAAGAAAAUGACGGUACCUGACUAAGAUGCCCCGGCUAACUACGUGCCAGCAGCCGCGGUAAUACGUAGGGGGCAAGCGUAAUCCGGAUGUACUGGGUGUAAAGGGAGCGUAGACGGCGUAGCAAGCCAGAUGUGAAAGCCCGGGGCUCAACCCCGGGACUGCAGUUGGAACUGUGCUGCUAGAGUGUCGGAGAGGCAGGCGGAAUUCGUAGUGUAGCGGUGAAAUGCGUAGAUAUUAGGAAGAACACCGGUGGCGAAGGCAGCCUGCUGGAGGGUGACUGACGUUGAGGCUCGAAAGCGUGGGGAGCGAACAGGAUUAGAUACCCGUGUAGUC